RNAcentral lists this ribosomal RNA (331 nucleotides) under uncultured bacterium. Its description in RNAcentral is "bacterial SSU rRNA". It matches the Rfam family "Bacterial small subunit ribosomal RNA", at positions 493 to 819 of the family's 1533-position model. The record is from RNAcentral.
ACGCUCGACAGUGCCAGCCGCCGCGGUAAUACAGAGGGUGCGAGCGUUAAUCGGAUUUACUGGGCGUAAAGCGUAGCGUAGGCGGCUUUUUAAGUCGGAUGUGAAACUCCCCGAGCUUAACUUGGGAAUUGCAUUCGAUACUGGGAAGCUAGAGUAUGGGAGAGGAUGGUAGAAGUUCCAGGUGUAGCGGUGAAAUGCGUAGAAGAUCUGGAGGAAUACCGAUGGCGAAGGCAGCCAUCUGGCCUAAUACUGACGCUGAGGUACGAAAGCAUGGGGAGCAAACAGGAUUAGAUACCCUGGUAGUCCAUGACCGUAAACGAUGUCGUACUAG